Molecule: ribosomal RNA, 940 nt
Rfam family: Eukaryotic large subunit ribosomal RNA (bases 588-940)
AACUGCGGAAGAUCAUUUCACGAGUUCUUGAACGGGUUGUAGCUUGGCUUCUUUUUUUAAGAAGCAUGUGCACGCCUGGCUCAAUUCCCACUCCUUAACCUCUGUGCACUUAUUGUAGGUCGGUGGAGGCUGGCGCAAGUCAGUUUGAAGCCUUCCUAUGUUUUAUUAUGAACGUAUCAGUUAUAGAAUGUCUUACUUUGCUAUAAUGCAAUUAUAUACAACUUUCAGCAACGGAUCUCUUGGCUCUCGCAUCGAUGAAGAACGCAGCGAAAUGCGAUAAGUAAUGUGAAUUGCAGAAUUCAGUGAAUCAUCGAAUCUUUGAACGCACCUUGCACCCCUUGGUAUUCCGAGGGGUAUGCCUGUUUGAGUGUCAUGGUAUUCUCAACCCCCAAAUUCUUUAUUGAAUCUUGGUGGGCUUGGACUUGGAGGUUGUGCUGGAUUUUGAUUAAUUCAGCUCCUCUGAAAUAUAUUAGUGUGAAUCUUACGGAUCGCCUUCAGUGUGAUAAUUGUCUACGCUGUGGUUGUGAAGUAUAUUUGUAUUCAUGCUUCUAAUCGUCUCUUACUGAGACAAUUACAUUUUUGACAUCUGACCUCAAAUCAGGUAGGACUACCCGCUGAACUUAAGCAUAUCAAUAAGCGGAGGAAAAGAAACUAACAAGGAUUCCCCUAGUAACUGCGAGUGAAGCGGGAAAAGCUCAAAUUUAAAAUCUGGCAGUCUUCGAUUGUCCGAGUUGUAGUCUAGAGAAGCAUUUUCCGCGCUGGACCGUGUACAAGUCUCUUGGAAAUAGAGCGUCAUAGAGGGUGAGAAUCCCGUCCAUGACACGGACUACCAGUGCUUUGUGAUGUGCUCUCAAAGAGUCGAGUUGUUUGGGAAUGCAGCUCAAAUGGGUGGUAAUUCCAUCUAAAGCUAAAUAUUGCGAGAGACCGAUAGCGACAGUAC